Molecule: long non-coding RNA, 503 nt
Filed under: Nicotiana benthamiana
Lineage: Eukaryota; Viridiplantae; Streptophyta; Magnoliopsida; Solanales; Solanaceae
Description: long non-coding RNA (NBEN_LNC028083)
Source: RNAcentral
ACUAUCUCCGUUUGUCUUCAAUUCUGCUAAUGGAUUGGUGCACAAUAGAUGCAAUGCUAUUGUGAUUUGUGCCUUCUCAAGUCUGAAGAAGUGCAGAUUUUGUUACUUUAACAUUUUUUGAAACAAUUGUUAAUUGAAGCUGGCAAUUGGCAUGUACAGCUCCUGAAUCCUAGGAUGGAUGUACAUAGUUAUCAUGAACUUCUGUCAGCAAUACGGUUGCUUAUCUCAGAGGAUCAAUGCGGUGGCAGAUUUGUUUUUAGUCGUCAGGUUUUACUAACUUCCAAGCCAUGAGCUGCAGCAGCACCACCAGCUCCAAUGUCAAGGACAGAAAGCGGUUCUGGAGGUGAAAAUUCUAAGUCUCAGCUACAUACGUCGGUUUUAGUAACUUCCAAGCCAUGUGCUGCAGCAGCUCCGCCAGCUCCGAUGUCAAGGACAGAAAGUGGUCCGGGAGGUGAAAAUUCUAAGUCUCAGCUGCAGAUGUUGCUGAAUCGAGCAGGAUAUGC